GACAUUUUAACUAUAGAAGUAUAUAUUUUGAAAAUAUAAAAAAGAUAACCAUCUAAAUGUCU
This 62-nucleotide transfer RNA is filed under the name Carios vespertilionis. RNAcentral's name for it is "tRNA-Ser". Lineage: Eukaryota; Metazoa; Arthropoda; Arachnida; Ixodida; Argasidae. The record is from RNAcentral.